Molecule: ribosomal RNA, 484 nt
Filed under: uncultured bacterium
Lineage: Bacteria
Description: partial 16S ribosomal RNA
Rfam family: Bacterial small subunit ribosomal RNA
Source: RNAcentral
AUUGAACGCUGGCGGCAGGCCUAACACAUGCAAGUCGAGCGGAUGAAGGGAGCUUGCUCCUGGAUUCAGCGGCGGACGGGUGAGUAAUGCAUAGGAAUCUGCCUGGUAGUGGGGGAUAACGUCCGGAAACGGGAGCUAAUACCGCAUACGUCCUGAGGGAGAAAGUGGGGGAUCUUCGGACCUCACGCUAUCAGAUGAGCCUAGGUCGGAUUAGCUAGUUGGUGGGGUAAAGGCCUACCAAGGCGACGAUCCGUAACUGGUCUGAGAGGAUGAUCAGUCACACUGGAACUGAGACACGGUCCAGACUCCUACGGGAGGCAGCAGUGGGGAAUAUUGGACAAUGGGCGAAAGCCUGAUCCAGCCAUGCCGCGUGUGUGAAGAAGGUCUUCGGAUUGUAAAGCACUUUAAGUUGGGAGGAAGGGCAGUAAGUUAAUACCUUGCUGUUUUGACGUUACCAACAGAAUAAGCACCGGCUAACUUCGUG